Oreochromis niloticus (Nile tilapia) is the source of this 616-nucleotide non-coding RNA. The record is from the annotation of a RefSeq genome assembly. Lineage: Eukaryota; Metazoa; Chordata; Actinopteri; Cichliformes; Cichlidae.
AGUGUUCGCUUCACUUUCCUUUUAGGUCUUAGUUCAGUGUGGUCACACAGUUGAUCCGAAGUCACAUCCCAGCAAUUUAAAUUCCUACAACUCUUAGGCUCAUAUAGUUUGACGUUAUCAAAGGAAGGUCAACAUGAUUAAUUUUCUCUUUUUUUGUUGCCUAACAGGUGUCUGUGUGGGUAUUGAGGUCCGUCAGUUUCCCUCUGAGUUUAUCACAAAUGUUGGAUCCAAAGUGGAGAUUUUCUGUAGCCAUAAAAAGACUGACUACAGGAUGAUGCUGUGGUACCAGCAGCUGCCUGGAGACACAGCUAUGAAACUCAUUGGGUAUUUGUACUACAAAGAUGACAAAUUUGAAGACCAAUAUAAAGAUCAUUUCAAUAUCACUGGAGAUUUAAGUGGGAAUACAGCAAAGAACGGCUCUCUGAUAGUCAAAGUUGCACAACAAGAGCACAGUGCAGUGUACUACUGUGCAGCGAGAGAAGCACAGUGACAAAAAGCUCCUCUGAACACUACAAAAACUACACAGCCUUGAAUCAGUGGUUUGACACAAGUAUAGGGAAUAAACUGAUCUCAGACACCUGCUUUUGUGGUUUCUGUUUUCAAUUGAUGUUAUCGU